This 253-nucleotide ribosomal RNA is filed under the name uncultured bacterium. RNAcentral's name for it is "partial 16S ribosomal RNA". It matches the Rfam family "Bacterial small subunit ribosomal RNA", at positions 524 to 776 of the family's 1533-position model. The record is from RNAcentral.
UACGUAGGGUGCAAGCGUUGUCCGGAAUUAUUGGGCGUAAAGAGCUCGUAGGCGGUCUGUCGCGUCGGAUGUGAAAACCCAGGGCUCAACCCUGGGCCUGCAUUCGAUACGGGCAGACUAGAGUUCGGUAGGGGAGACUGGAAUUCCUGGUGUAGCGGUGAAAUGCGCAGAUAUCAGGAGGAACACCGGUGGCGAAGGCGGGUCUCUGGGCCGAAACUGACGCUGUAGAGCGAAAGCGUGGGGAGCGAACAGG